AAAGUCAAAUCUGUCAAAGAUUUAGUCAACAAUGCACAAUAUAUUAUUUAUUUGGUUCUUAUGAUAUAUCGAAGAAAUUAAGUUUUCAAGCCUUAAUUGAAGACUACAUUAACGUCACUAUUUUGUUAUUGUUAUUAUUAUUAUUGUUACAGUUUCAGUCAUUAUAGUUCUGGAUUAACUAUGAUGAAAAUGAAGCAGGUUUAAAGGGAAAACUAACAUAAGGUCUUCACAUAUAAAACACAGGUAACCAGUCCGGCCGAUACAGACUGCUGUUCUGAUCUAACAACUUCUGUCAAAUCAUCAACUGUGUCAUGUGAUCAUGAGAGGGUCGAGUCAAAGCUUAGAGAACUCGUUCCUGUUAUUUCAUAUGUGAGCACUUUUAAUACAAAUAUGUUGUUCUAAAGAUAAAUUUCAGUUAAUUUCUUUUCAAAUGUAUGCUUUUAUUUUGAAAGCAAAGUUGCAUCACUGCCGGUUUAAUUUUUUUCUUCUCUUUGACACAUGAAACACCUGAGAAACACCUGCAGGUGAAAUAUUUAUUUCAGACCGACAAUUCUGAGAGUUUUUAUCAAGUUUAGUCCUUAAAACAGAUAAAGUGGUUAUUGUAGGUGAUUUCAAUAUUCAUGUGGACGUUGAUAAUGACAGCCUUAGUACUGCGUUUUGUCAUAGUUAGCCACAUCUCUCCUCCUAUCCUUGUGCGCUCUAGUGUUGCUCUCCUCUCCUGGUGUUCCUUGUCAGUCCUCUGUUCGUCACUGUGUGUGUAUGUGUGUGUGGGCGUACUGGGCUGGGCGGGCGCCCUGGUUCACCUCCUGCUGCUGAUCACCGGCACACCUGACGUUCAUCAUCCAAUCGGUCUCCACAGUAUCACAGUAUAUCCACCUGGCUCUACCUCACAACCAGCGCCAGAUUGUCUCCAUACUAUCAGUUAUUCCCUGCCGGUGAUCGCAGCCACCGUGUCCUCUCUGAUCUCUGCAAUGCCGCUUCCCUGUUCUGCCUGCCACGAUACACGAGCCAUAUCCAGAAGCCCCACCCAGCACCUACGCCCUUGGAACCCAGCCGGUGCUCCACGGACUGUGCUGGUAGACUGCACUCCUGUCCCCAGCAAACUACACCUGUCCCCCCCCUGCCCGCUCUGGAAGAGUGCUCAGCAACCAGUACUGGUGUACAAAUAAAAACUGUUAAAACCUA
Molecule: long non-coding RNA, 1185 nt
Organism: Siniperca chuatsi (mandarin fish)
Lineage: Eukaryota; Metazoa; Chordata; Actinopteri; Centrarchiformes; Sinipercidae
Exons: 2
Source: RefSeq, a predicted model, not a curated record